AAAACGACUCUCGGCAAUGGAUAUCUCGGCUCUCGCAUCGAUGAAGAACGUAGCGAAAUGCGAUACUUGGUGUGAAUUGCAGAAUCCCGUGAACCAUCGAGUCUUUGAACGCAAGUUGCGCCCCAAGCCGUUAGGCCGAGGGCACGCCUGCCUGGGUGUCACGC
This 164-nucleotide ribosomal RNA is filed under the name Acer campestre (hedge maple). RNAcentral's name for it is "5.8S ribosomal RNA". It matches the Rfam family "5.8S ribosomal RNA". Rfam says of the family: 5.8S ribosomal RNA (5.8S rRNA) is a component of the large subunit of the eukaryotic ribosome. It is transcribed by RNA polymerase I as part of the 45S precursor that also contains 18S and 28S rRNA. Functionally, it is thought that 5.8S rRNA may be involved in ribosome translocation. The record is from RNAcentral. Lineage: Eukaryota; Viridiplantae; Streptophyta; Magnoliopsida; Sapindales; Sapindaceae.